RNAcentral lists this ribosomal RNA (492 nucleotides) under uncultured bacterium. RNAcentral's name for it is "partial 16S ribosomal RNA". It matches the Rfam family "Bacterial small subunit ribosomal RNA", at positions 29 to 507 of the family's 1533-position model. The record is from RNAcentral.
AGUGAACGCUGGCGGUAGGCCUAACACAUGCAAGUCGAACGGCAGCACAGUAAGAGCUUGCUCUUACGGGUGGCGAGUGGCGGACGGGUGAGGAAUACAUCGGAAUCUACUUUUUCGUGGGGGAUAACGUAGGGAAACUUACGCUAAUACCGCAUACGACCUACGGGUGAAAGCAGGGGAUCUUCUGACCUUGCGCGAUUGAAUUAGCCGAUGUCGGAUUAGCUAGUUGGCGGGGUAAAGGCCCACCAAGGCGACGAUCCGUAGCUGGUCUGAGAGGAUGAUCAGCCACACGGGAACUGGGACACGGUCCAGACUCCUACGGGAGGCAGCAGUGGGGAAUAUUGGACAAUGGGCGCAAGCCUGAUCCAGCCAUACCGCGUGGGUGAAGAAGGCCUUCGGGUUGUAAAGACCUUUUGUUGGGAAAGAAAAGCAGCAGGUUAAUACCCCGCUGUUCUGACGGUACCCAAAGAAUAAGCACCGGCUAACUUCGUG